UUCAUGCUUGGUGUGACAUUUUC
RNAcentral lists this non-coding RNA (23 nucleotides) under Rattus norvegicus (Norway rat). Lineage: Eukaryota; Metazoa; Chordata; Mammalia; Rodentia; Muridae. The record is from RNAcentral.